AGCUUUAUAUUCAAAAAAUGAUUUUAAAUUGCAAAUUUAAAGGUAGAAUAUUCUUAAGGCUU
This 62-nucleotide transfer RNA is filed under the name Pselaphinae sp. 12 EF-2015. RNAcentral describes it as "tRNA-Cys". The record is from RNAcentral. Lineage: Eukaryota; Metazoa; Arthropoda; Insecta; Coleoptera; Staphylinidae.